AGUAUGUAUGCAGAAAUGUUCUUUUAUCUUAACAUUUUAGAUUGGUGACAACACUAUUGAAGAAUGUUUUUAAGCCUAAGAUUUCUUAAAUACCUUUC
Long non-coding RNA from Rhagoletis zephyria (snowberry fruit fly), 98 nucleotides. RefSeq lists it as uncharacterized. NCBI's taxonomy places the organism in Eukaryota, Metazoa, Arthropoda, Insecta, Diptera, Tephritidae. The record is from RefSeq and is a predicted model, not a curated record.